Molecule: non-coding RNA, 161 nt
Filed under: Gossypium hirsutum (cotton)
Lineage: Eukaryota; Viridiplantae; Streptophyta; Magnoliopsida; Malvales; Malvaceae
Description: Eukaryotic small subunit ribosomal RNA
Rfam family: Eukaryotic small subunit ribosomal RNA
Source: Rfam by way of RNAcentral
CACCGCCCGUCGCUCCUACCGAUUGAAUGGUCCGGUGAAGUGUUCGGAUUGCGGCGACGUGGGCGGUUCGCUGCCCGCGACGUCACAAAAAGUCCACUGAACCUUAUCAUUUAGAGGAAGGAGAAGUCGUAACAAGGUUUCUGUAGGUGAACCUGCGGAAG